AGAGUUUGAUCAUGGCUCAGGAUGAACGCUAGCGGCAGGCCUAAUACAUGCAAGACGAACGGUAAGUUGAGUAGCAAUACUUAGCCAAGAGUGUCGUACGGGUGCGUAACACGUAUGCAACCUACCCUAUACAGGAGGAUAGCCUAGGGAAACCUGGAUUAACCCUUCAUAGUAUUAUUGGAUGGCAUCAUUUGAUAAUUAAAACUGAGGUGGUAUAGGAUGGGCAUGCGGCUGAUUAGGUAGUUGGCGGGGUAACGGCCCACCAAGCCUUCGAUCAGUAGCUGAUGUGAGAGCAUGAUCAGCCACACGGGCACUGAGACACGGGCCCGACUCCUACGGGAGGCAGCAGUAAGGAAUAUUGGUCAAUGGACGCAAGUCUGAACCAGCCAUGCCGCGUGGAGGAUGAAGGCCCUCUGGGUUGUAAACUUCUUUUCUUUGGGACGAAACCCCUGUUUCUACGGGGACUGACGGUACCAGAGGAAUAAGCACCGGCUAACUCCGUG
RNAcentral lists this ribosomal RNA (503 nucleotides) under uncultured bacterium. Its description in RNAcentral is "bacterial SSU rRNA". It matches the Rfam family "Bacterial small subunit ribosomal RNA", at positions 8 to 507 of the family's 1533-position model. The record is from RNAcentral.